Molecule: ribosomal RNA, 322 nt
Filed under: Esquamula sp.
Lineage: Eukaryota; Cercozoa; Imbricatea; Thaumatomonadida
Description: SSU rRNA
Rfam family: Eukaryotic small subunit ribosomal RNA (bases 105-322)
Source: RNAcentral
GAUUUCUGGUUUGGUGCGCCUGGCCCACUACCUUUAGGUACGUGAGUGCCGGUGCGCGCCUGCCAUCCCUUCUAGAGAACGGCUCUGUCCUUCACUGGUCGGAGUCGCGAUCUAGAUCUUUUACUUUGAAAAAAUUAGAGUGUUUAAAGCAGGCUCGCGCCAUGAAUACAUUAGCAUGGAAUAAUAAUUUAGGACUUUGGUCUUAUUUUGUUGGUUUCUAGGACUAAAGUAAUGAUUGAUAGGGACAGUUGGGGGUGCUAGUAUUCAGCGGCCAGAGGUGAAAUUCUUGGAUUCGCUGAAGACUAACUUAUGCGAAAGCAUU